Molecule: non-coding RNA, 4198 nt
Organism: Cyanistes caeruleus (blue tit)
Lineage: Eukaryota; Metazoa; Chordata; Aves; Passeriformes; Paridae
Source: RefSeq, a predicted model, not a curated record
UGGGAUCCAUGUUUCCCUCCAGCCAAUCACAAUCUCACUCCCAGCUGUCAGUCAACUGACUCCUCACUGAUAGCUACCUCUCGCCCCUCAGCCACUUCCAGCUGUCCAGCCUGCAGCUGUGCCUCCCCACAGGGCCUUCUGAUCCCACUUCUUGACAGAAUCAAAUACAGGCAUUUUCAAAGCCCUUCAUAAGUGAAUUAAGGAUCCAGUUUCUGGACACAGACAGGACCCUUGAAGACCUUCAGUGAUGGGCAGAAAGAACUGCAGGUGUCCACUUCUUAUGAACAAAACAGAAGAAACAGCUGAUGUUUAUAGAGAAAUUACGUAUCUUGUGAUUUCAAAAGAACAUCCUCAUCUGGUCUUUAUGGAGAAGAAGUUUGGCUGUUUCUUGGACAUCUUCCAUUUGAGUCUCGGUGAAACCAGGUGACACCUGGUGUGCCUCUGCUCCUGCACGCUGGGCUCUCUGUCUGCUCAGUAAGUUUUACCAGUGUGCUAGAAACUCAGAAAUGGUAAUUUAUGCUUACUGGAACAAGCAUUGCCUGCAACAAGGACACCUGCUCCUCUGUAAAAGACUUUCCACUUUGCAAGGUGAUCAGCCCUGCCUGUUCUUCCUUCCUGCACUAUAAUACCUGAUUUGAAGUUGCCCCAGAAAUCCUGGUUUAAAAGCUUGCGCUGUACUUGAGGAUGGACCAGUCUGAGCCCUUCAACAUAUCACUGUAUGUCCAGCCAAAGAGAAAUGAGUAAGGUCUGUGCUCCAGGUGUGCAAUAAUUCUACUCAUCAGAGACUGAAAUCCAAAGUCAAGGCGUGGACUUGCAUACAUUACAUAGUGAAACACCAAUCUUAACACUCAUGUAACAAAGUGCAGCAAGUGUUUAAUGGACAUAAACAGGCAGCAGUGAAAAUGUGGAUACAAAGUAUCAGAGGAAGUAAAAUAGGAUAAUGUCAGGGAACAAGUUCUAAGAAAGCAGGACUAGAAUAACACUAGGUUAUUUUUUAAAUUGCUAUUUACUAGAUAGGCUGUAUGUCUAUUUAAAAUUAACAGCAGCAUUAGUAAAAAAAUCUACUUAAAUCUGCCAAAGUCAACAAAAGAGAGGAUUGGUCACUGAAAUAUCUUCCUGAUCAAAAUUAAUGUCUGAAUAAGAAGGUAGAUUUGGGAUUUAAAAGGACAGUCCAUACCAAAACAGGGAAAUCCAAAUGCCAUGUUAAAUGCUUGUUGAAUAGAAUUUUUUCCUCCCUGUUCCUACUCUUGAAAAAAAUUGGUAAGUGGGGUAAAAAGAAAAUGGUUUUCCUCCCUUGGAUACCUUUGCUGCUGGCUGAAGACAGCACAGCACUCCUCAGAUGGCAAAAGAAGGAGGAAUUCCUUUCGCAACAUCUGCCUACGUGAGGGUCCUGGAAUUUGCAUCUUCCCUGAGCCUGCUUUAGCUCACCUCCCUGCCUUCUUGACAUUCCCCUCUUGUCCAGCAGAUAAGAGCACAUUUUCAGAACCAGUUUUGCAAUUACCCAUCUUCUUAGUUUUCUUUCCUGACCUUUAAAGGGGAUGCACCAAAUAAAUGCCUUUGUACAAGUGCCAGACUUUCUGCAGGGUGGCUGUUUCAAAGGAGUAAAUAUGAUCUUUUCAUAAAUACCAUGUCAGGCCCAUGUAACUCACAACUUAUUUAUUACAGCCCUAAUGCACACCGUGGAAGCCGGGGCUAGUGUUGCACAAGAACAUAUAUCUAAAACAUUUCAGGACUGCAGAGCAAGGUGGACAGCUAGAUUUUUGUGCAAGCUGCUUGGCCAUUGUUGAGUCUAGCUUUUACUUGAGUUUCAUGAAGUAUUUAAAGCUAUUCAGAGUUUAGAAGAAAAUGAUAGAAAUAUUGCAGCCUGUGAAUUGUUUGUUAGGCAUAUGGUCUUGGCAUUCAAAAUCCAAACUAGCUGCCCAGGUAGAAGGACAGAAAAGUCUUCUGUGACAUUGAGAGUAUCAGUUUGUCCCCAUUGACUUCCAGCUUCCUUCAAAGCCUUCUGGGGUUUAUACACCAACCCAGGACUCAUUUGAGCUGGACAGAAAGCUGUUUUAAUGAAAAGAUUUCCCACACUUUGCUGUUGUCACGAUAUCCUCGGGAGGGGAAAAAGGUCCUUGUGUUUGGUGUGCACUGGCUUCACACUUGUGUCCCCAAACAUAGGCAGUGGGAAGCCAAGAGAAAUCCCUUGCUUUACUGAGAAGCUCAGCAUGGACCUGGGGUGCCUUUACCCAGAUGGCAGUCAAAAAAUAGUAUUGGUUGGGAAGUAUGGCUGGGUCACAAGUGUCACUGCUUCUGUUAACCCCUUCAUUUCCCAAAUACAGCAGUGUAUGGGAGGAUUUCACCCAGUAUGGAGGAGUUAUGAGUUCAGAGAAUCACACCCUGCAGCUGGCUUUCUUGCCAUACACGUGUAACAUAAAUAGCUAAAUCCUUCACUCCUCUGUCUUCCCCUGGUGCACACACGCCUGGUGGAUUGUGAACCUUGAGGUGGUGGUGGAUCCCUGUGCUUCAAUGCAGUUGUGGUCAAUGUGGUUGUGUUCAAUGCCUUUGCUCACAUUUUCUGCCAUGGAAACUGUGUGUGUAGCUCUAACAGAUUAGGGACAAGUAUUUCAUACUUAGCAAAAGCAGAGAAACCAUCUCAGGAGUUUUUUUUUGUCCCAUGGAGUAUGCCUUGGCAUUUUUACAGGGCUAGGUGCUUCUUGAAAAUGUGGCUCUAAUACCUUUGGUGGAAGCAAUUUUGUCCUUAAAAUGAAAAAAAAUUUCAAGGCCCUUUCUGUCUGCUGUCAUCCUGCACAAUAGCAUUUGGUACAUCCUGAAACAGAGGCUGGCAUACCAAUAGUAAAUGCAUGAGAUAAAAAUAGUUAAUGGGCAAACUGCACUUGCUUCACUCUGUGCUUUAUGGAUAGUCAUAAACACAUCUUAACUGAAAAUGAUCUGAUGUAGUAUACAUUGUUGCUGAGGUGGAAACACUUGUGUACUCUUCAUCUCACACAGCCUGUUUUUGUUUAUCAGGACACAAGUAGCUAUCAGCACUGGAUGCUUAGCUUUCACCUCUAAAUCUGGCUUUCAGAUCUAGUGGCCUGACUUCUUCCAUUUUUGGGGGGUUUGAAUUAAACAUCAAUUCUUUUUGGUGAUGAAAGUGUUUUUAAAGCAGCAACCCACCAAGAGGUUUUGAAAGUCAGGUUGCUUGAGAGCAAGUAAAAUGAAAUUGUGAAUAACUUUGCUUUUUUAUGUAAUUUUCAGAUGGGAAGAAUAAAUCAGAACCACAAAAGGGAUGUUAGCAGAGCCGAAGUUAUUUAGAGUUUAGGUUUCAUAAAGGCUUUGGUAAGAUAAAGUCUUUUGUGGCUCUAUACCAACCUUCUUAAAAAAUAAUCCAGAAAGUUGUACUAUAUGCAGAGCUUGGGGCUAACUUCAUUAGUAGUCACCGUAUCUUAUUCAAAUUACACGUACAGUUGGGUGUUUAAAUUACAGGAAGACUUUGUGUUUAAGAGUUUCCGCACCAUGCCGAGGCUUGGGAAAAAAAGUCAGAUUUGACACAUAAUAGGGAUUGAUGUGCUACCUCAAAUGCUGGUGUUACUGGAAAGGAAGGAACUUCCACAGGAAGAGCAAAGGAAAUUAUACAGGAAUCAAUAUAGGAUGCUAAAAAUAGUGCUUGACUUAUCUUCCAUGUGAGUCAAAAUACCCUGCUCAAGAGAUACACAUGCUAUGUCUUGGCUGGUAUAUCCAAACUGCUCUUACUGGUGUACAGGCUGUCAGGAUUUCCUCCAAAGUCAAUGGAGAGAGGCAAGUGUCUCUGGAGGACAGUUCAUCCCACCUACCUAAGGAUUUGCCAGCAAAAAAGAGAGUGCUGUAGAACCUGCCAUUUUCCUAAUUGCCAUCAGCUUCACAUGUUUGAAGUCAAGAAUGUGCUUAAUUAAUUAAUUUCCUGGAGGGUGUUCAGGGAGCUGAGCACCUGGCAGGACUGAACAACUAGCUUGGAGGAAAACUAAGAAAUUUGCAAAUGUUCUGGAUGAACCUGAUGAACAAAACUGGGAAACAAGGAGAGCUUGCCUGCAAGGAUGACUAAGUCGCAAGCUUGGAAGCAUAACAGGUCCCAGGAGAGAGAAUAUGAUUAGUUGGGUAAUUUACAGGUAAUAUGCUUUCAUCGUUUUCUACUUAGCAUUAAUUUUCUAAAGCACCAGGCAGGAGUUUGCUCAGA